RNAcentral lists this ribosomal RNA (407 nucleotides) under uncultured microorganism. Its description in RNAcentral is "partial 16S ribosomal RNA". It matches the Rfam family "Bacterial small subunit ribosomal RNA", at positions 509 to 917 of the family's 1533-position model. The record is from RNAcentral.
CAGCAGCCGCGGUAAUACGGAGGGUGCUAGCGUUAUUCGGAAUCACUGGGCGUAAAGCGCGCGUAGGCUGCCAUGUAAGUCAGAUGUGAAAGCCCUUGGCUCAACUGAGGAACUGCAUUUGAAACUGCGUGGCUGGAGUACCGGAGAGGGCGGUGGAAUUCCCGGUGUAGGAGUGAAAUCCGUAGAUAUCGGGAGGAACACCAGUGGCGAAGGCGGCCGCCUGGACGGUAACUGACGCUGAGGCGCGAAAGCGUGGGUAGCAAACAGGAUUAGAUACCCUGGUAGUCCACGCUGUAAACGAUGGAUGCUAGGUGUCGGGAGUUGUUCUUUCGGUGCCGCAGUUAACGCGAUAAGCAUCCCGCCUGGGGAGUACGGUCGCAAGGCUGAAACUUAAAGGAAUUGGCGGG